AUUCGCGGCCUAUCAGCUUGUUGGUGAGGUAACGGCUCACCAAGGCAUCGACGGGUAGCUGGUCUGAGAGGAUGAUCAGCCACACUGGGACUGAGACACGGCCCAGACUCCUACGGGAGGCAGCAGUGGGGAAUCUUGCACAAUGGGCGAAAGCCUGAUGCAGCAACGCCGCGUGCGGGAUGAAGGCCUUAGGGUUGUAAACCGCUUUCAGCAGGGAAGAAACUGACGGUACCUGCAGGAGAAGGUGCGGCCAACUACGUGCCAGCAGCCGCGGUGACACGUAGGCACCAAGCGUUGUCCGGAUUUAUUGGGCGUAAAGAGCUCGUAGGCGGUUCGGUAAGUCGGGCGUGAAAACCCUGGGCUCAACCCAGAGAUUGCACCCGAUACUGCUGUGACUAGAGUGCGGUAGGGGAGCGGGGAAUUCCUGGUGUAGCGGUGAAAUGCGCAGAUAUCAGGAGGAACACCAGUGGCGAAGGCGCCGCUCUGGGCCGUAACUGACGCUGAGGAGCGAAAGCAUGGGUAGCAAACAGGAUUAGAUACCCUGGUAGUCCAUGCCGUAAACGUUGGGCACUAGGUGUGGGUCUCAACCAACGAGAUCCGCGCCGUCGCUAACGCAUUAAGUGCCCCGCCUGGGGAGUACGGAAU
RNAcentral lists this ribosomal RNA (645 nucleotides) under uncultured bacterium. RNAcentral describes it as "bacterial SSU rRNA". It matches the Rfam family "Bacterial small subunit ribosomal RNA", at positions 229 to 888 of the family's 1533-position model. The record is from RNAcentral.